Molecule: unclassified non-coding RNA, 253 nt
Filed under: uncultured Alphaproteobacteria bacterium
Lineage: Bacteria; Pseudomonadati; Pseudomonadota; Alphaproteobacteria
Description: contains 16S-23S intergenic spacer region
Rfam family: Bacterial small subunit ribosomal RNA
Source: RNAcentral
UACGGAGGGGGCUAGCGUUGUUCGGAAUUACUGGGCGUAAAGGGCACGUAGGCGGACUGUUAAGAAGGGGGUGUAAUCCUGAGGCUCAACCUCAGAAUUGCCUCCGAUACUGGCGGUCUAGAGAGCGGGCGAGGUGAGUGGAAUUCCCAGUGUAGAGGUGAAAUUCGUAGAUAUUGGGAAGAACACCAGUGGCGAAGGCGGCUCACGGGCCCGCAACUGACGCUGAGGUGCGAAAGCGUGGGGAGCAAACAGG